This 1336-nucleotide unclassified non-coding RNA is filed under the name uncultured Neocallimastigales. RNAcentral describes it as "partial contains internal transcribed spacer 1, 5.8S ribosomal RNA, internal transcribed spacer 2, and large subunit ribosomal RNA". The stretch from base 632 to 1336 matches the Rfam family "Eukaryotic large subunit ribosomal RNA", at positions 1 to 619 of the family's 3401-position model. Lineage: Eukaryota; Fungi; Neocallimastigomycota; Neocallimastigomycetes; Neocallimastigales. The record is from RNAcentral.
UCCGUAGUGAACUGCGGAAGGAUCAUUAAAAAAUAGGACUUCCAAUGGGAGUUCAUUAAUAAUCCUACCCUUGUGAAUUUGUUUGUUUGAAAUAAUUUUUUUCCAAAAAAUUAUUGAAUGUCUUUCCUGUUUUUGGUUGAAGCGUAAAAGUGAGACCAAGCAGGGAAUGGCAAACAUUAAUUUUUGAAAAAGACUUUUUUAAAUUAAACUUUUUGUAUUCAUUUGUCUAAAAUUAUUUUAUAAUAUAAAAACAACUUUUGACAAUGGAUUCUUGGUUCUCCAACGAUGAAGAACGCAGCAAAAUGCGAUAAGUAAUGUGAAUUACAGAAUACGUGAAUCAUCGAAUCUUCGAACGCAUAUUGCACUUUUUAGUUUACUAAAAAAGUAUGUCUGUUGAGUAUCAGUAAAUAUUCUCAUAAAAAACUUUUUUGUUUUUAUGUUAUGAGUGUUUACAACGAUAAACAAGUUGUUUCACUUUAAAUUCUUUGAAAUUUAAAAAUCGUUAAAACUAAUUUUAAAAUGAUUUUUUAAAAUUGGAUAAAUUUCCCGUAAAAAAGAAUAACCUAAACAAUUUUAAAAAAUUUAAAUUGGUUGAUUUUUUAAAUCCAAAAGGAAAAAGUAAAAAUUAACUUGAUCUCAAUCAGAUAAGAGUACCGCUGAACUUAAGCAUAUCAAUAAGCGGAGAAAAGAACUAACUAGGAUCCCUCAGUAACGGCGAGUGAAGCGGGAAGAGCUCAAAUUUGAAAUCUUCAGGUUCUACCUUGACGAAUUGUAGUUAAAGAAGUGUUUUCUGUUGGAAUAGUUUGGUAUAAGUUCUUUGAAUAGACAUCAUGGAGGGUGAGAAUCCGUAACGACAUUUAUUCCAGCUCUGUGAUACACUUUCAAGAGUCGGAUUGUUUGGAAUGCAGUCCAAAAUGGUGGUAAAUUUCAUCUAAAGCUAAAUAUUGGCGAGAGACCGAUAGCGAACAAGUACGUGAGGAAAAUGAAAAGAACUUUGAAAGAGAGUUAAACAGUACGUGAAAUUGUCAAAGGAAGCGUUUGACACCAGUGUUGUUUCUCGAAAUCAAUUAAAAAUGGCUUGAUUUGUGUAAGGCGACUUAUCAGCGUUUUGCACUCUUUUCUUGUCCUUUUUAAUGCACUUUCGUUUAACAGUCAACAUCAAUUUCUUUGUUGUAAAGAGUCAUUGGAAGGUGGCUUCUUUCGGAGAAAGUGUUAUAGCUUUGGCUUCUGCAUCGGAGAGAUUGAGUCUGCAGCGUAGAUCCUUCGGGUUAGAUGCAUUAGUGCUAGUUAUAGCCUUCAUAGACACUUGUUGACUAUGAUCAGUCAUGUAGCUUAC